RNAcentral lists this long non-coding RNA (7067 nucleotides) under Populus trichocarpa (black cottonwood). RNAcentral describes it as "long non-coding RNA (PTRI_LNC004494)". Lineage: Eukaryota; Viridiplantae; Streptophyta; Magnoliopsida; Malpighiales; Salicaceae. The record is from RNAcentral.
AGAGCUGCAACAAGAGGAGGAGGAGAGAGGGCAGAGAGGAGAGGCUAAAAAAAAACAAAAGGAUACAGCUUUAAGAGAACGGAAGAAAGGAGGAGAAAUUGAAAAUACCAGAGAGAGCAAUAGGGAGAGAAGAAGAAGCACACUGAACAGAAACAGAGGACACGGUGAAGAUAUAGCACAGCGCCACCAUCAUCUUCGUCCCCUCAAAACCAGGUAUGUUUGCUGCCUUUCUUGUUUCCUGUAAUGUGAUGCCUGUUAAUAUAUAGAAACGAAAAGAAAAUCAUGCCGAAACCAACAUCUGAGACCACAUGUAUCAUGCUCUGUUUUUUUUCGUUAUACACUUAUACUGGGAAGGGGAUGAACAGUGCGAAGGUAAUUUAAUUACCUUCGCACUGUUCAUGCACGCGUGAUACGCGUGCAUAUGCUGAAAGGAGAGGCUGGUCACUGGCAUGGGCCAGUGACCAGGCUGGGCUGGCUAGGUCCAGCCCAGUCACAUGGGUUGGGCUGGGCCCAGCCUGCAAAAAAAAUUAUUUAAAAAAAAUCUGAGUUUUUUGUAAUUUUUUUUAUAUGUUGUAUUUUAAUCAAUAGCGGUUUGUAUUUUUAUACUGUAAAGAUACAAAUUCGGUAUUAAAAUACCCGAUUUUCGUCAAGACAUCAAAAAAAAAAAAAAAUAUUUUGUUUUCUUGCAUACGACCAAGUCUCUCAAAAAUUAAAAAAAAUCAUAUUGUAUUUUAAUACCACAAAAAAAAUUUCAAAAAAAUAUGUAUUAACAUGCAUUUUGACUUUAAUAACCAGUUUAUUAAAGUCACGAGAACUACGUCAAUAUUUCAAAAAUUCUAAAAAAAUUUAUUUUGUUUUCUUUUAAUAUCUGGGGUUAUGAUCUUAUACGUAAGACGUGUUCCGGAUAUUAAAUUUUCUUUGAUGGCAUUAGACCGGUUAUGUUUUAUCCGAUAAGAUAAGGAUCUCUUUACUGAAGAGAACUUUUCUUAAACCAUAGACGGACCAACAAAUAGAAAGCACGACAUGACCUUAGAUUUUAUCAGACAAUAAAACAAUGCAGUUUACCUUAGGUAGGACGUAUUUGGGGUGCUAAUACCUUCCCUUUGCGCAACCAGUCCCCGUACCCGAUCUCUGAGACCAGUUAGGGUUCCUAGUGACCAAAAUACUAGGUGGCGACUCCCAUUCCAUUUUCCCACUAAUAAAAGACAAGAAUUCCUUGUCUCCACACAUUUGCCGCAUUAGAUUAGAUUUUGAAGGUGGAUGUUUUCGCCAGCGACGCCGCACACGUGCGACAGAAUGGCGACUCCACUGGGGACCUUGUGGACUAAGCUUUGUUUUUGUCUGAUAAUUGUGUUUUGUUUGGUUUGCGUGUCUUUGUUAAUAAGCUUAUUUUAUUUAUUUAUUACAUGUUUGAAUUUCUGUACAUUUAUGUUCAUGCAUUGUAUAGAACUGUCUCAUACAUCAUAUACUUUAAUUUUUGGAAAGCACACACAAGCUUCUAAGUUAGGUGGGGAAUUAGCGAUCUGCCCUAUGACUAUUGGUCAGGGUUCAGAUGCGUGAAACACCCAACUCAUAUCUGAGUGCCUGUUUGAUAAUGGUGGGCAUACGUGCCUUAACUGUUCCUUGCAACGCCCCCACACUGUCUUUACAAAGAUCGUCACUAGGCAGAUAUGAGACCCUUUUGAGACUAGAUAGUCAACCUACCAUUGGUCUCACUUAAUGAAUAGAACAUGUCCUUAGGUUAUGUGUUUUACCUUUUGUUUUGCAUCAAAGUAAACCCUUCCUGAAGCAUCUAAAACUCAAGACUUGUGGUUGAUACAAUGGUCGUUACUCAGGAAAUUUCCGUUGUGGAGCAAAAAUCAAAAUGCAAGGGUUACGACUAUGUGUCAAACCUAAAAAGGCGAACUCAUCAUAUAGGAACAUACUCGUACAUUUAUCAUACAUGUUGCUAGGUUGAAACAUAGGUCCCCCAUCCAAGAUUUGCUACACCUGAAAGAUGGAUAAUGAAGAAAGAGCUCAAUUGGAGGCCCAUUAUCAAAAUGAAAUUGAGAGCAUCAAAGGUGAAGUAGCUAGACUUACAGAUCUACUUGAACAAGUGCUGAGCUCUAAAAAUGAAAAGGGGAUUUUUGCACAACCUCCUGUGAAAACACCAUCAAUCCACGUCCUAGAACAACAUUUUAUGCUUAUCGCCCCUAUCCCGUCAAGUCAAGCUCCCAUCACCGUGGAUUUAACAGCAAAUGGACCCCCUGGCAAUAAAUCCACUAAUUUUGUGAACUAUGACAAGUUGUCUGCUUUAAAAGAAAGAUUAAGAGCAGUUGAGGGUAAUGAUUGGUUUGAUCCCAUGCGAGCAACUGAAGUGUGUUUGGUACCAAACAUCAUAGUACCAAAGAACUUUAGGAUACUAGAGUUCAUCAAAUACACUGGAUUGGAAUGUCCAAACACUCACCUUCAAUCUUACUGCAAUAAAAUGGCUGAGGUGAUUUAUGAUGAUAAGUUGUUAAUCUAUUUUUUCCAAGAUAGUCUGAUGGGAUCUGCCCUAAGCUGGUAUAUGAGGUUGGACAAUGCUAAAGUUAAGAAAUGGAAAGAUUUGGUGGAGGCUUUUUUUAGCAGUACAAGUUCAAUCUUGAAAUUGCUCUUGACAGAACCAUCCUAAUGUCUAUGGAGAAGGAAGACCAAGAGUCUGUAAGGGCAUACGCGCAAAAAUAGAGAGAUAAGGCAACGUAUGUUCAACCUCCACUGAUAGAUACAGAAAUGAUGAUGUUGAUUGCCAACACCUUUCAAUCCCCUUAUUAUGAGCAUUUAAUAGGAAGCUCAACUCAACAUUUCCAUGAAGUUGUGAGGAUUGCUAAAAUAAUUGAACAAGCUAUGAAGAGGGGAAAGAUUGAAGGUUCUGUCAUGGAUUCCAGAACAAUGAUGAGAGAUGACUCGGGAGGUGGAUGAGCAAGAGAAGUUGAGUUUGUGAAAGGUGAUGUCAUUGGCUAUAUUGUCCCCCGAACAUCUUUAGAAUGACAAGGGAUCGAAAAUGCUUGACAAAACACAGAUAUUGCCAGAAAAGCUAAUCCAAGAAUGGCGAUGAAUUGUCAACCAGAUUUUGUUUUGGGAUCAUAUCUCAUCUCUUUAACGAAACAUGUCUUUUAUUUGUCUCUUUGUUGUUUUGAAAUAAUGAGAUGUUUCUUUCAAAGUUUAUUUUGGCAAAAUAUUUUGAUCGAACUCCAACAUGCAAUUAAGGCUAAUCAAUCUUGAAAAAUUAAAAGUAUUUGAUUGCAGAAAUAACUCGAUGCUUAGGGUGCCCAAACAAAUUUUGAGCUCACACAUGAAACUGAAUCACCCACCAUGUAGCUAAGUUUUAGCAGUAUGCAUAAUGACAUGUAGUGGAUUCGGUAGUUAUGGACUCGUGAAUCAUGAUUCUUACAAAUCCAAAUCACUACACUGGACGAGGUCAAAAUUUAUCGGUUCACACCAACCUUGCUUGAAAUGAGAAAAGGCCAUCUUUGUUUUAUCCUUUCACAAUACUGGAAAUAUAUCAUUUGCAAUCUCAUUUUGAGCCUGAUAGAAUAUUCUUUUCAAAAGAAACCCUAACUAGGAUCACACCCCACACUGGGGGCAAAUAAGAGAAGACAAAAGUGAAGGGGAAGGCUUAGAACACAAGUCCAACUUUUGAGAGAGAGCUAAAAGAAAGAAGACCUAGACAUGGGGCAUGUUAGAAAACUGUGAGAAAGGCUAUGUGAAAGCCAUAUAUAUAUAUAUAUAAAAUUUGUCUACACUUAAAGGCAGGUCAAAGAUAAAGGAAGAAGAAUGCCUAUUGAGUCUAGGAAAGACAAAAGAAGUUUCAAUCAAAGAAAGACACCACAAAUGGCAAAAGUCGAUACCAUAAAAAAUAAAAAAACUGAGCUUCAAACAUGACUUUUGGCAUCCAUGAUAAAAACCCUGAUGUUAUCAGGUGAUUGAGAUUUGUUAUUCAUCAAAGAAAAAGUUGGAUUUGCAUUAUGACCUAUUCUGAUAUUUGAGGUUAAUAAGGUUAUAUGUCGCUUUCUCUACAAAGACAACAAGAUAAAGAGAAAUGAUGAAUAGUUGAUGUCGAUCCUAGGUUUUUGAAACCCUCAAACACCUUUUGAGCCUCAUGAGGACAACACUAGAAAACCUCUUAAUAAGUGCUGGUAGGAUGCACACAGCUAAUCAAAGAAUGAUUCUCGAAAGAAUCCAGGAGAUGAAAUGAUUUGUUCUUGACGAAUCAAACAAAACCACACUUGGGGGCAUUGUCAAGCUUGAUAAACAGUGAAACCAAUAAUCAUCGAACACAACCUAUGAUAGGCGCUGCAUUUAUAGUGGAGUGGAUGACUAGCACAUGAACGAGCCAGUACAUAGAAAGAGCAAAGAAGGCUUUUGGAUAGCAAACAAAGGCACCCUAUGACGAUGGAACAUCAAAGAGGGGGGGCCUAUAUUUCAAAUCAGGUAAGGAUGCAUGCAUGUCAUUUAACCUUAAAGCAUUGCACACAUAUUUUUAUUCGUUACAGGAAAAUCCUCAAAGAAAUCCAGCAAGAUUGAAAAAAAAAAUAAAAAAAUUCAAAAGAAUCAUUGAGCUGAUAAUAACAGAGAAUCAUGGAUUGUGACCCUAGAAUGGGAAGAAGAUGAGAUAAACCUUACUGUCAGGAAAAUCUCAAAGAAAUGAGAAGAUCAACCUUGUCAUCAUGAGGAGUCUUCAAUUCAACCCUGCAAUAAGGAAGCACCAAGUUUUCCAACCUUGUCAUCAAGAAAAAUCCAGUUAAUUUCAGUAAUCAGGAAGGACAGAUGUUAACCUUGCAAUUAGAAAGGACAGAUGUCAGUCCUGCAAAAUCACAAAAAAAAAGGCAUCAAGUGAAAAGUUUGAUCAAACCUUAUCAUCAAGAAGAAAAAUGACAAGAACCCUACCAUUAGGAAAUUCUCAAGAAGGAGAAGAAGAAGAAGAAGAAGAAGAAGAAAACGAAGGAAGCAAGUUCAAACCUUAUCAACAGGAAGAACAUAGAUUUUGGUUCUAGUUAAGGGGGAUCGACGGACGGGAUCUCAGGUUAGCCGAACCGCACACAGGAUAUUGGUUCUGGUUAAAGGGGAUCGCCGGACGGGAUCUCAGGUUAGCCCAACCACGCAGAUUUUGGUUCUGGUUAAAGGGGAUCGCCGGACGGGAUCUCAGGUUAGCCCAACCACGCAGAUUUUGGUUCUGGUUAAAGGGGAUCGCCGCACAGGAUCUCAGGUUAGCCCAACCACAUACAGGAUUUUGGUUCUGGUUAAAAGGGAUCACCGGACGAGAUCUCAGGUUAGCCCAACCACACAGGUUUUGGUUCUGGUUAAAGGGGAUCGCCGGACGGGAUCUCAGGUUAGCCCAACCACACACAGGAUAUUGGUUCUGGUUAAAGGGGAUCGCCGGACGGGAUCUCAGGUUAGCCCAACCACGCAGGAUAUUGGUUCUGGUUAAAGGGGAUCGCCGGACGGGAUCUCAGGUUAGCCCAACCAUGCAAAAUUUGGUUCUGGUUAAAGGGGAUUGCCGGACGGGGUCUCAGGUUAGCCCAACCACGCAAACUUUGGUCCUGGUUAAAGGGGAUCGCCGGAUGGGGUCUCAGGUUAGCCAAACCGCAUAAAGGAUUUUAGCUUUGUUUAAAGGAAGUCGCCACAAGAGAUUUCAAAAUAAAAUAAAAAAGAGAAGUGAGAAAGAAAGAAAGAAAGAAAAGAAGAAGAAGAAGAAGAAGAAGAAGAAGACUGAAUUUAGAGGGGCGCCAAGAUCAGGUUCUCAAGAUAAUCAAGUUCCUGGUUGAAACCAGAUUGCGGUAAAGAUAGAAUUUCAAAUCAACCCAGUUUUGAGAAGAUCAAGAUUAAAAGUUCAGUUUUGUUUAUCUUUACAAAACUUACGACGCAAAGUUUUUGCUCCGUAAGCAUUGUAAAGAGGGGGCAUCUGUUGUUAUCCAUUUUUGGGUUCACAUAAAAAUGAGAAAAUACAAAAAAUAUAUAUCAAAAGAAAUCCAAAAAAUAAUAGGAGCGAGAAAAGGAUUGCUGGAAUGCUGAAAAAAUGCCAAAAUUGGUUGAGGAGAUUCAAAAAUGCAAAAGGUUGAAAUUUGACAGUGAGAGCCCUGUUGAUGAGGAAAAUUCAAUUUGAGGAAGAAAAGUCCAAAAUCAGAUGUUUAUGGACUCAAUUAAAUUUUAUCCAAGGUUUAAUUGAAUUUAUAGAGCGUUUGAUUGCAAGAAAAUUGAUUUUUGUAAGUCAAUUUAGGCUUUUAUCGGAAGAAAUUAAAGUUCUGGGGUCCAAUUGUAAUUUUAAAGAGUUAAUUUGGUCAAAUCAGGGGCUUAAUUGCAUAAUAAGGGUUUAAAAUAUAAAAAAGACUGCAAGUCUACAAGAGCUGACAAUAAGAGCAAGGCUGCUACAAAGGAUUUACAAUGGAAUUAGAAAUAAAAUUUAAGUCCACAUUGGCAUUGGCUUAAUCUACAAAAAUAUAGAAAAUCUACACUUGUUGACCUGCUUGCCCAUCCUUUUUUUCUACUUCUUCCUGACCUCCUAUUUGACUCUCAUUCUCACUCAUACAGUACUUCUUGAAGAAAUAACCAAAACACCUCAUCACAAAAGGCACUGAAGCUGCAAUCAAAAGAUAGCGAAAACGCACAGAUUCAUUAGGAGUAACAGCAAAAACCGCAGAUGCAUAGGUUAUCAUAAUUGAAGCUGUAGCAGCCCAUAUUUCAAGAUGGAAAGGGAACCUGUAAGUGAGAGAUGUAAUGACAAGUAUACAAGUAGAGAGAGCCAAAGUGUUUGAUAUCAAGAAAACAUAGAAAGCACGCUUUUGAGAUGCAUAAAUUGCUCUUCCUACACGAUCUCCUUCUUGCCAGACCCCUCCAGGAGGGUUCACCCCGGCCUGGAAAGUCACUGCUGCAAUCAAGGCCACAACUACUAGCAAAACAUUUCUAGCAUCGCUUGGUGAGUCUCUCACUUCAUCAUACUGAAAUUUCUUGAACCCGCCAGCACUUCUUUUAGUAUUGUUUUUUUUAGGCUGAGACAUUUUUACUUGGGCAAAGAUAUGUGGGAGAUACCAGCACUCUGGCUCUCAAGA